This 1047-nucleotide long non-coding RNA is filed under the name Mytilus galloprovincialis (Mediterranean mussel). Lineage: Eukaryota; Metazoa; Mollusca; Bivalvia; Mytilida; Mytilidae. The record is from RNAcentral.
UUAUUACAAGAAGACAGAUACACACCAGUAUUUAAAUUUUGAAUCAUGCCACCCAUCACAUACAAAAAGAAACAUUCCAUAUUGUAUGGCAAGACGAGUAUGUUCAAUUGUAUUAGAUAAAACUCUUCGCAAAAGAAGGUUAGAAGAACUGAAGAUGUAUCUCUUACAGCAGAAAUAUCCAUUAAAACUUAUAGAUGACAGUAUCGAGAGGACAAAUAAAAUGUCUACAAAUCAACUAAGGACACCGAAGGAACAUACAACCGAUGAUGAUAUCCUCCCGUUUGUGACUACUCAUGAUCCGUCAUUACCAAAUGCCUUCAAGUUUAUAAAAUCGAAUUUUCCGAUUUUACAUCAAAGUGAAACAAUGAAAAAUUUGGUAACAGAAGAAUCGAUCAUUUAUAGUAGAAGACAACCGAAAAAUUUGAAACGCCAACUUACAAAAGCGCGAUUUGAUAUAGUUAAGAAGAUAUCAUCCGUACAAAUUUGUGGCGAUUCACGCUGUGGAGUAUGUUCCAGAGACAAUUAUAUUUACUUAGAAAUAGGCAGUACGAAAUAUUUCAAAAACGGUAAGAAAUUUACAGUAAACGCAAAUAUGACUUGCAAAUCAGAAAAUGUAAUCUAUUGUAUAACAUGUGUCAACUGUAAAGAAAACUACAUCGGUCAAACAGGAAAUAGUGUGUGUGAACGGGUCAGGAUCCAUAAACAGCAAAUACGGCAACCCGAGUACAGACAAAUUCCGUUGAGCGAACAUUUAGAUAUUUGUGCGGGAGGAAAAUUCAAAUUUUUCCCGUUCUUCAAAUGUACAGAACCAACAGAAGAAUACCGUAAAGAACUAGAAAGAAAAUUUAUAAAAGUGUUUGACGCCAAGCUUAAUGCUUAGUAGUUACAUGAACAAUAACGUUGCGUCAUACUACUAAUAUUUUACGAACAAUGACGUUACGUCAUAAUACUAAUGUGUUCCCCAUAACGACGUUCAUAACGACGUUCAUAGUCUUGAAAAGUCCCAAGAUGGAUGAAAGCGCUAGACAAUGCUGCUUUUAAAACUCU